UAGCGUUGUUCGGAAUCACUGGGCGUAAAGCGCACGUAGGCGGAUGUGUCAGUCAGGGGUGAAAUCCCGGAGCUCAACUUCGGAACUGCCCUUGAUACAGCACGUCUCGAGUCCGAGAGAGGUGAGUGGAAUUCCUAGUGUAGAGGUGAAAUUCGUAGAUAUUAGGAAGAACACCAGUGGCGAAGGCGGCUCACUGGCCCGGUACUGACGCUGAGGCGCGAAAGCGUGGGGAGCAAACAGG
This 241-nucleotide ribosomal RNA is filed under the name uncultured bacterium. Its description in RNAcentral is "partial 16S ribosomal RNA". It matches the Rfam family "Bacterial small subunit ribosomal RNA", at positions 536 to 776 of the family's 1533-position model. The record is from RNAcentral.